CCCGCCUACAAGUCUCACAAAUUCAUUCCUCAUUCUUCCCGGGCCGACAUUCUCCAAUUCGGAAGUAGAACGUACUAGUUUUGAAAUCCGCCUCUCCGUCCUCGAAAUCCACCCAGCCGGCCCCAAAACCGAAACAAAAGCAAGCUCGCAUGCCGAAAAGACGACGAGGAGGGAACUUUCGGGAACACCGGCCGCCGCCGCCGCAGUCCACCGCUUUCAUGGAUGCUACUAUGCUAGCACCGUACGGCCGUAUUUACUAGUAUGCCCCCGUGAGCCACCGCACGAACCCGUAGAACGACGCGCUGCCGUCGUCCGCGUCCCUCCGCCGCGUCGGGGGGGCCACGCCGCCGUCCAUGUCCCACCACCACUCCGCCGUGGCCGCGGCCGUCACGGUCCCAGCGUCGUACCGGUUGCUCCAGCGCCCGCUGCUCCACCGGCUGCUCCACCGGUUGCUCCACCUGCUGCUCCACCGCUCCGCCGUCGACCUGAACGAUGCCGUAGGGGUCAGGCCCACGGACGACGUUGGCUGCCCGCGCUCCACCGCGGCGAGCUGUUGCUGCUGCUGGCUUGUCGGGUCGCUGGACCCGGCGGCGGCGGGCGGGGUCGGUUUGAGCACCACCUGGAGCUCUUCCUCGACGAGGUACUCCGACGACGCCGAGUCGGGGAGGCCACCGGGGAGCGGGUACGCGCGGACGGCGGCGGCCGCAGCGUCCGGGUUGGAGCGGCGGCUGCUGACGCUGCCGAGCUCCACACGGAGGAGGUCCGUGAGCGGCGGGUGGGGCAGCGCGAUGGAGGCGCGGCACAGCGGGCAGGACGGGUUGGCGCGAAGCCACGGGUCCACGCAGCGGGAGUGGAAGGCGUGGCGGCAGGCGGGCAGGAGGCGGAGCCCGUCGUCGUCGCGGAACGCGGUCUGGCACACGGCGCAGUCGCGCGACGACUUGGGCACGGCGGCCAGCGACGAGGACAGCGUGAACUGCGGCAGGCGCGCGAUGAGCCGCUCCGCCUCUGCCUCCGCCGCGGCCGCCGCCUUCCCUCCUCCGCCCUGGCCGUCGGCGGGCGCCACGGACGCCCCCGCCGCGGGGCGCGCCACGAGCGGGAGCGGCGGAGCCUGCCGGGACAAAGAGGAGGAGGAGGAGGAGGACCCCGCUGGGCCCACGUGGCGGCAGAGGUGGCGGAUAAAGUAGUGGAUGCACAGCGACGCGAGCAGCAUCACCACCACGAUGACUGCGAUGACGAGGAUGCUCGGCGAGAUGCCCGCCACGCUGCCGCUCCCGCUCCCGCCACCUCCCGCGCUACUCCCUCGCGCGUCACCCCUUCCGUCCCCGCCGCCAUCGUCCGCCAGCCGCGGCACCAGCGGCACUCUCCGCUCCGGCACUGCCGGAGGCGGCGGGGACGGGAUGGCGGUAGAUGCCAUCAACGUGUACUUGUCCCAGCCGCCCGCGCGCUCUGCCUCCUGCUGGUGUGGUGGCGAGCGCGGGUGGAGGACGGCUUGUCCGUGGGCCGUGGCUUAUAAGUGUAGUUUUGUCCGGUGGCGGCUUGCCAUUUAUAGUUGUGCCGGCUAAUUUGUCCAGGGCGACUGAUAGAAGAUGAGGGGAUGGGACUCGGACUGCGACUGGGACUGGACCAGGUGUUACGUUGGAUUCUUGCGUGAUUAUAC
This 1657-nucleotide unclassified non-coding RNA is filed under the name Zea mays. RNAcentral describes it as "misc RNA Zm00001eb390740". The record is from RNAcentral. Lineage: Eukaryota; Viridiplantae; Streptophyta; Magnoliopsida; Poales; Poaceae.